AUUGAACGCUGGCGGCAGGCCUAACACAUGCAAGUCGAGCGGAUGAAGGGAGCUUGCUCCUGGAUUCAGCGGCGGACGGGUGAGUAAUGCCUAGGAAUCUGCCUGGUAGUGGGGAUAACCGCCGGGAAAGGGCGCUAAUACCGCAUUAGGCCUGGGGGGGGAAGUGGGGGGACUUCCGACCCCAAGCCAUCAAGUUAAGCCUAGGCCGGAUUAGCUAGUUGGUGGGGUAAAGGCUUACCAAGGCGACGAUCGGUAACUGGUCUGAGAGGAUGAUCAGUCACACUGGAACUGAGACACGGUCCAGACUCCUACGGGAGGCAGCAGUGGGGAAUAUUGGACAAUGGGCGAAAGCCUGAUCCAGCCAUGCCGCGUGUGUGAAGAAGGUCUUCGGAUUGUAAAGCACUUUAAGUUGGGAGGAAGGGCAGUAAGUUAAUACCUUGCUGUUUUGACGUUACCAACAGAAUAAGCACCGGCUAACUUCGUG
This 484-nucleotide ribosomal RNA is filed under the name uncultured bacterium. RNAcentral's name for it is "partial 16S ribosomal RNA". It matches the Rfam family "Bacterial small subunit ribosomal RNA", at positions 30 to 507 of the family's 1533-position model. The record is from RNAcentral.